UUUGGUGAUGAUGGCAGAGGGGUUCCACGCGUACCCAUCUCGAACACGACCGUUAAGCCCUCUAACGCCGAUGGUAGGAUUUGCUCCAGAU
Molecule: ribosomal RNA, 91 nt
Filed under: Cohnella fermenti
Lineage: Bacteria; Bacillati; Bacillota; Bacilli; Caryophanales; Paenibacillaceae
Source: RNAcentral